CAACGGGGUUUCGGGGCUGUGGACCCUGUGCCAGGAAAGGAAGGGCGCAGCUCCUGCAAUGCGGAGCAGCCAGGGCAGUGGGCACCAGGCUUUAGCCUCCCUUUCUCACCCUACAGAGGGCAGGCCCUUCAGCUCCAUUCUCCUCCAAGGCUGCAGAGGGGGCAGGAAUUGGGGGUGACAGGAGAGCUGUAAGGUCUCCAGUGGGUCAUUCUGGGCCCAGAGAUGGGUGCUGAAGCUCCCACGCCUGCCUGUGAAAAUGGAGUCCUCUUUCACCUGGGAGAGCCAGGUGCUGCCCCGAGAAGGAUGCAUUUAUGGCUUCGUGAAGUCUUUCCUGACCCCCGAUGCUGCUGACUAUAGAGACAAAGUCUCACUAUGUUGCUCAGGCUGGUCUUGAACUCCUGGCCUCAAGCGAUCCUCCCACCUCAGCCUCCCAAAGUGUUGGGAUUAUAGACAUGAGCCACUGCACCUGGCCGACCUUGGGCAAGUUCUUAAACCCUUCAAAGCCUCAUUUUUCUCCAAUCACAAAAGGGAAAGAUGGUAAUAUUUUCCCCACCAAAUUCUUGUCGGAUGCCCUCACAGAAUUGAGAUUAUGUACGUAAAACACCAGGUGCCUAACCCGGCACAGAGCAGGAGGGCUAAGCGUGACAUCCAGCACGUGGUCAGUGGAAUCCAGUAUUCCUACCCACCUCUCUAGUCUCCCCUCCACCCCUCUCCCUUUCAGAGGCACCAAGCUGCUUGUGGUCUUGUCUAUUCCCACUCCCUGCCUGACUGAACAUUUUCUCCACCUCCUGAUCAUCAGCAGCAGAAACUGGCUGCUCUUCCUCCUGGGUAGACAGCCAGACUGUAUUUCCCAGCUGCCCCUGCAGUGAGAUGUGGCCAUCGGAGCCAGCAUUGGCCAAUGGACUCUGCAUGGGAGUGACGCAUGCUGCCUCCAGGCUUGUCUCUAAAACCUCCCACGUGUCCUCCGCCUGCUCUUCCCACCUCCAAGGAGCACGGCAAUUGUGGAAGACCCAGAUUAGUGAUGGCAGAACCAUAGAUGGGAGGAACCUGGGUCCCUGACUUAAAGUAUCAUGGAUUUGGAUGUUCCCUUAGUGAGAAAUAAACUUCCAUUGUGUUUAAGCCUUUA
This 1126-nucleotide long non-coding RNA is filed under the name Homo sapiens (human). RNAcentral describes it as "non-protein coding FAM138C:3". Lineage: Eukaryota; Metazoa; Chordata; Mammalia; Primates; Hominidae. The record is from RNAcentral.